UUCCGCCAUUUAAAGAAACAGUACCGGGGGCGGGCCGAGAGACGCAGCCGGGACGGUAGCUGCGGUGCGGACCGGAGGAGCCAUCUUGUCUCGUCGCCGGGGAGUCAGGCCCCUAAUUCGAAGAAGCCCUGGCGCGCCCUCCCCCCCUCCCCGGUCUGGUAGGGCGAAGGAGCGGGCGCGCGGUCGAUCGAGCAAUCGGUUGGCGGCUCUUUCUCCUGCUCUGGCAUCCAGCUCUUGGGGCGCAGGCCCGGCCGCCGCGGCGCGCGCCCGGUGGCCGUUGGCGCUCGCGCCGCGUCUUUCUUCUCGUACGCAGAACUCGGGCCGCGGCCUAUGCGUUUGCGAUUCGACGAGGAGUCGUUCGGGUGGUCGGUGGAGGCGGACAGCUGCUCCGUCCCGCUCCCGGGGAGGCGGCGGCGGGAUUUGGCGCGGCCGGGGAGGCGGGGGUGGCCGGGGCCGGCCUGGAGGCCUGGCGCCACCCUUCGGGGCCUGCAAGGACCCAGUUGGAGGGACAGGAGGAGGCUGGGGGAUGGUUGGUCGUGGGCUUUCUGCUUUGCCUUUUCCUCCUUAUGCCGCCUUAGGGGUUGGGGCUCUGAAGGCAGCUCCGGGGUGGGAAGACAAGCCCCGGAGUCGGAAGAGCUGGGUUUGCUUCCGGGCCUAGCCACCAGCUGGCCGAGUGACCUUAGGCAAGUCACUCUGUAAUUUGCGCCUCAGUUUCCUCCUCUGCCUAUUGGUGUUUGUGGGAUUAGAAGCGCUUUGUAAACUGUAAAGCGUCAGUGUACGUAAGGGAUGAUUUUUGUUUGUAAUUUUUUCUUGAGUUGUAAGAAAACUUAGCAAUUGCCCAAUCCUUGGAUUUUCAACCUUGGAUUGGAGUUGGCGAUCCACACAGACUCCCUGAAACAGUACGCAGAAAUGUACAUUUUAGGGGGAUGAGAAUCCAUCACCAGCAAGAUUUCAAAGGGAGAUGUCACCCCUCCCCCAAGAGUUAAGAACCACAAUUUCUUUAUGCCACAGGGAGGAAACUGAGGCCUAGAUGUCAUUUGGGACUCUUCACGACCAGUUUGAAGCUCCUGAUUGAAUCCCUGGGAUAUGUGAGCUGUUCCUGUGCAUAAUGGAUAUUUGGCAUAACAACGCUCCACUGCUUGGCUUCUAUUCUUAGUUCUUUCGUUUCCCUAUGGGGUGUCUGAAGGGUGGCUGAUGCAUAUGGUACAAUGGCACCCAAUAUAAAGCAGCUAAAACUAGGAGUAUGUGUGUUCGCUAGCAUCGAGAAGCCUUUGUAAUCAUUGGCCCAAUAACUUUGUUUUCUGCUGCGUAUACUGGUGCCUGACUGCCUUUCUGACUCUUAAUUGACCAUUUUCCACAACCAUGUUUGCCACUCUUUACUUGGUCCUAUUUUAUAUCCCUAGUCUGUGUGGUUGGUAGUGAGCGGGCUUAUUUUUAAAUGGUGCUGCCAAGUCUAGCUAAUUAGUGUUGCAGGUGGAUUUUUAGCAAGCUGGCUCACUGGCACAGACUAAACUAGCCAUGGAAUUCCUGAAGAUGUUGAGGGUUUGUCUUUAUUAAUUAAAGGUUAACAUUCUCUGAAAAGUUUUUUAGAACUUCUCCUGUAUCUCAGAAUCACUAGAUUUGGAAGUGUUUCAAAGCUUAACUUUUUCCUGGACUGCUUUGUUUUCUAUUUGCUUGCAAAUGUGUUACUAAGAUGGCCAAAAUGCCAGUUUUUGCUUCUUUGUUGUCAGCUGCUGUUAUCAAAUUCCAGGCCAUUGUCCAGCAAACACUAUAGAAAUGUUUGAACAUUUGGAUUUCAAACAUUUUCGUUUUGUGGAGUAUUGCUUACCAGUGGUACAGCUCUAAGCAAGCGAACACACACAUUUAAGUGUAUUUUGUCUGGUUAGGUGUUACCGGGUUCUGCUAUUUCAUACAGUUAUCUGGAAAAAUCAGUUACCUGUUCCCUUAACCUAAAGGGCAGCGACAAAUGAUCUCAUUUCCGUAGACAUGACUGUUUCAGAGAAAAAUGUGUUGGUCUUUUAGGUCUUUUAUAGUUAAAUCUGGAUGUACCUCAAAAGACUCUUAAGACUGGUGAUAAGAUGCUUUCCUCGGCAGAGAGGAGGGGGAAAAAAACAACUGGAACUCAAAGCUUGAAAUUCUGUGACAGAACAUGAGAUGUCCAGGAUAGGAGGUUGAAAGGGUUUCACUACAAUCUUCUGCACCAGCUGGAGCAGAUGCCGUUCAGUGUAGCCACAGUGUGGACUCCAGAUUUCCAAGACCUGGACCUGGGACAUGGAAGAGCUUAUCAGGGUGUGACAGGAACUCUGGAGCUGGAUAUUUUUAUUUUUGAAUUUUGGGACUGUUGUGUCUUUUCUCAAAGCAAACUCGACAACUAAUCAAGCACUGCCACCAGCACUGUUACUGGGAAUUCUAAGACCUGAGUUUCUUCCAGACCCUCAGUGCAAACUCUGGCAACACUCCAUCCAAAGUGAACUACGUCCCGUUGCCUCCUGAUGGCUGAAUGUUUGCCUGGACCUUCCGACCACCUUCCUUGUACUGUACCACCAGCCUACAGAUCUGGUACCUGGAUUUUUGCUCAUGGUGAUUCCUAUCACCUUACUACUGAAGAAGACACUAUUCCAGUGGACCACUGUGACCUAAGAGGCCUUCAGCCAUCAUGAUGUGGCCUUCACCUCCACUCCUGUCCUGCUCUACCCAGAUUGAGCACCAUCCUUGUAGUAAAGUCAAACUCCUCAAGCCAAAUAGCUGAAGCUGUUUUAUCACAACAAAAGACCAGUUUGUUCCAUGAGUGUGCAUUUUAUUUCUUCAGUUAAAGCCUUCAAAGAGAGAUAAUAAAUUUGGACCAGGGGAUUUUUAAUAAUCAACGUUGUCUGAAGAAUGGCAGCAUCCUUUUGAGAACGACGUUGGACCACACCUCACGAUCUCAAAUGUUUGAAGUUCAUGGAAUGUCUAGGAUCCCAUCCAGGUCACUGGACCCUAUUUUUCCACUUCAAAUCUGUGUGUAGUAGCCUACUGAAUGAGAAAGCCGAUAUUCUGACCCAUUGGGAUUAAAACAAAGGCACAGUGAAGUCCUCAUAGCAUCUUCUUUGGGAUUACUCAGGAACCAGAACUUUUCACACAAAUGUAAGAAAUUUUACCAAGGAAUCCCUUUACCUUACAGCAUCAUACAAAGCUCCAAUCAGAUUCCAGAAAAGGCCUCUUGAGACAUCCAGGUAGAACCUAUAUGCAUUUUGUGAACAACUUAUUCUUAGAUCAUUGGUUUUCGAAAGGCUUUGUGGCCAUGAAGCCCCUUGAAUGAAAACUAUGGAAGCCCAAAAUAAAAAUGAAGCUGCUCUGGAUGAAGCAGGACUGGGGGUCGUGACAUCUGCCACAAGCAUCUUUACCACCGUCGUGACACCUAAGAAGACUUCUUUACAACACCUAGAGUUCUUCAGAACAGUUUGAAACCACUGCCAUAGACAACAGUAUGUUGAACUUGAAUAGCAUUCUGAUCUGUACCUCUACCCAACAGUCUAUGUUCAGUUGGUGCUGAAUAUUCUUAUGAAUACUUACUGUGGGCAAACUCAGAAAAGUGCAAGAAGACGGGCACAUCUUUGCCCCCCAGAGUAGUCAUAUGGGCCCAAAGUGGUAUCAAAUGGACCUAGAUUAACAAUUAACAGCCCACAGCCCCCAGGUGAACUUCCAGUGAUUCCUGGAAUUGGAUAUAGACAGUAAUUAAUAUAUACUCUACACUGACAAACCCCAUUACCCAAGUUCUUUUACAGACACCAGAUGCUCUAGUGGUACUUGAAAUACAUGAUUUUGAAAUCUUGAUCCUCCUUGGAAUCGCCAGGUAUUGAAGCUGUUGCCUCAUUGAGGCCAUAGUAGACCGACUGGAAUAUUGGACCUCCCAUCAUCAGCCAUGGUACUCUACUUGAUGUGCAAGGGAUAACCAUGAACUAUGAAAGCAGAAUUCAAAUGCAACAUUACCUAAAAAGGAUACCUGGUUAUCACUCAUCUUAUUCUCAAACUACAAGUCACUAUGACUCAACCAGUAAAGUUAUACUGCUGCUUGGUUUUUAUUCACUAACUGAUAUUUCCAGGAUAAAGGAGCUAAUAUCCUUUAAAAAGCUAGAACAAUACCUCCAUCACUGGCAUAUCUGCCUGGCAUAUUCUGCUCUAAAAUUAUGAAUACUCAGCUCUAACUACAUGUGACACCUGAUCCACAAGAGACAAUCUUUGGAUAUCUUUUCUCAUUUAUGUGAUUUAAAAUGUGGCUAUUUGAAAAUUUUUCUUCUAGCCAAUGAGGAUUUUUUUAAUGGUCUUUUGACGUCUGGUACCAUCAACUGUAGGUGUUAGGGAUAUUUGGAGGUAGGCCCUCUGACGAAGCCAUGAGAGCUUACUUAGUGGGAAUCUCAAAUUGUAUAUCAUCUACCUUUUUGCUAGAAAUGUAAACUGACUUGAAAAAAAAAUCUACAAAGCCUGCAACUAUGGAUUGUAUCAGACUGAAGAGCUUCCUACUGCUUCUUCCUAAUGUCACAAGACCACAGUCCCUUAUCCUUGUGAAUGUUAAUGGAAUUUCAUCUGUCUCAAUACUGUUGUUUUACACUGAUUCAGAGCGGCUGACUUCAUUCCUUGCCAUGAGAUACUCUCAGGCAUUAAGACAACUUACUGUUUCUGCAGGAAGGAUUCGAUUCGUAAACUUCCAGACCAGAUCAUGUUGAAUAAGUAAACUUUAAUUUAUGUCACAAGAAAAUCUCAUUUACUUCACAGUUGACUUAAGGUGCAGCUGACCUCAACUACUUUAAUGAAUGCACUGGUUAAAUUUUGAGAAUGGUUUCUUUAUAUCUUUGUCUCUUAUCCUCUAUACUAAAUGUGAUUACAUGACUUGGUCUGCAAAUCAUCAAACAAGGCCUAUGCCUGGUUACUCUCAAUUGCUUACCCUCAAAAAAUAAAAAUAAAAUCUGCUUACUACUCUGCUUGUAUAUACAACUAUUAUUUGUAAAGGAGAAAUUAUCUACAAACUCAAUUUUUAUACUACCUUCAGAAUAUCAGCUCAAUUUUCUUUCCAUACAGAAAAAGAUACUGAUUUACACUGCCAGUCAUUCCCUUUAAUCCUGUCAAACUCAGUCAAAAUGAGGGGCUUAAGGUGAGGAUGAUCAUCUUUUCAAGAGUCUAAUGAACACUUUGUAUAAGAAUUGAUGGUUGAAAAAGCAGAAAGCCUAAAAUUCAAACGUAGGGUCUUACCUACUUACCUCCAUGCCUCAGAUCUCAUCUAAAUCUUUCCAACAGUACCAUUCCACCAAUUUGAGGCCUUGUUUAUGAUUCUCAGAGAUGGGCUGAGUUAGAAGAUGGAGACUUGAUUACCAAAGAAAGUAGGGCCAACUUUGAUGAACCUGGCUCUCCCAACCCUAUCACUUCCAGAUGUAGCAUAGACUCCUAAACACAACCUCAAGUCUGGAUUGAGGAUAUAGCCUUCUCCUGAGCUGAAAGUUAUUUGGCAGAUGAGCAGGAAAAUGAAAGCUGCUGUACAUAACUGGCUAUUUAAGAUCAGAAAAGUGUAUCCAGAGUAAACACUGUGGAUUAACCCUGGAGUACUCGGAGUAAAAACUAAUUUACAGAUCUUCGAUAUUAAACUACUUGUUCUUCCAUAUCAUGUCCUGGCUAUUGAUAUGGCUGGCCCUGCUGAAGGUACACCUACUUGCCUAUUUAUCUGACUCAGCCCUUGCCUGCCCUUUUUGAUGUGUUGCUGCAACCAGACUUGCUACCCUUAAGAAGACUACAGCUGAUCUCAGCCUAUCUAAUACUUAAUUCCACCAAGGAGUUUCAAACAGAAGCAACCUACCCAUCACCCCACCAAGACUUAUGUUCUCAACAGGGAGGAAGGACCAUGCUGUAUUCUCUGACCAGCGGCAGCCUUUUAUUUUUUUAAGUGCAGGGUAAGCCUCUAUGCCUAUGUAUAUUUGAUCAUUUUCAGCACCUGGGACCCCAUAUGCCAGGUCUGAAGGAGUACAGCAGAACAAAAGCACUGUCUACUCUUCUACACUAAUACAGAGGUGAGUCUGAUUCACCAGUAUAGAAAUGAAAAAUCUACCAGUCCAACUUAGCAAAAGACUUAAACACAAGAAAAGUUUUCCAUACUGAACUUAAAAUUCACCACUGACUUGAAUCACCUCACAGAACUUUUUGCCAGUGGAGGCUAGUUGUCUUGCUUCAUGUCAGCUGGACGAUUGGGCUCUCAGAUUCGUGACCACUGAGUUUACUUAUAUUGAAACUAUUGUAUCAUCCAAAGUAUGCUGUUGGACAUGAUUAUUCCAUUCAAAUGGAUUGUGAGCUUUCUGAGUACAGGACAUACUCCUAAUGAUGUUUUUUCAGAAUACUUUUAUUAUCAAGAAAGUUAACAAAAACGCCAGCUGUUACCAUUCAACUUUAUGAGCAGAGACUAAACUUUUUCAAUGUCUGACCUUAUUGUUGACAUCAGGUGUUUUUGACUGACCAGCAUUCAUUCCAUCUCUUUGUAACAACUCCGUGAUAUUUCUUCGAGCCACAUCUCCCUGUUUUCAGUCCACAUGGUUCAGUCUGACCUAACCUUGGGUUUCAUGUGUGGAUGUGUUAGCACAGUUCAUCUUGACCAUAAUGAUUUGUUCAGGAAUGGUCAUGUGAUUCAAGUUGGUCCAGUGAUAUUCAACUCUGGGAGUUUUACUGAGCUGUGGAAGAGGAGAAGCUGAGAAACUAUUUACUGAGGUUGAUUAGGUUUGUAGGAUGAAAAAGCUCAAACCAGCAGAGUCCAUUAUAUCAAAUGAGCCGGUCAGAGAAUGAAGUUAGUGCAGAGGAAAACGGAGCCAAAUGAUGGAGAGACUUUAGUUCUGAUGAAAAUGUUUGUGCCCCUGGAUCCACCUGUGCCUGAAGCUAGCAUACCCUCUGGACUUUUCAGUUAUGUGAACCAAUAAAUACCCUUUUUUGUUUAAGUUACUUUGAGUUGGGUUUCUAUUGCUUGAAAUUGAGCUCUAAUAUACUAUCUACCAACUUUGAAACUUGACAGAUCCAAGUAUUUAUUAAACUAGCGGUCAUGACCACACUGAAAUUAAACUUUAGAAACUGGAAGACAAAGUGAAACAGGAACUGACAAUGUUUAAGACAGAAGCUUAAAAAUUAAUUACAUGAUAGAAAAAUACAGAAGAAAACCUAAAUGUUUAUCAGUAAAAGAUUGGUUAAAUAACACAUGGUUUAGCCAUGUAAGAAAAUCUACAUGUCUGUUAAAAUGAAUAAGGUACAUUUAUUGUGUAUGGACGUGGAAAAAUGGACAUGAUAUAUUAAGUGAAACUAUUGAUAGAAAAAUGUAUAGUAUGAAUGCAUUUUAAUAUUUGUGUGUGUUUAUGUUUAUAAUGCAUAGAAAAGUCUAUUAAUGGCUUUCUUUGAACAGUGUAGAUUUCAUGAGGCUUUCAACUUGAUACAUUUCUGUAUUUGAAUAUUUUACACUACUCACAUUACUUUU
Molecule: long non-coding RNA, 7474 nt
Organism: Rhinolophus ferrumequinum (greater horseshoe bat)
Lineage: Eukaryota; Metazoa; Chordata; Mammalia; Chiroptera; Rhinolophidae
Exons: 3
Source: RefSeq, a predicted model, not a curated record